Molecule: ribosomal RNA, 496 nt
Filed under: uncultured Bacteroidota bacterium
Lineage: Bacteria; Pseudomonadati; Bacteroidota
Description: bacterial SSU rRNA
Rfam family: Bacterial small subunit ribosomal RNA
Source: RNAcentral
GCGCAGGCGGGGCAAUAAGUCAGUGGUGAAAUCCUGCGGCUUAACCGUAGAACUGCCAUUGAUACUGUUGCCCUUGAGUAUAGUUGAGGUGGGCGGAAUAUGUAAUGUAGCGGUGAAAUGCAUAGAUAUUACAUAGAACACCGAUUGCGAAGGCAGCUCACUAAGCUAUCACUGACGCUGAGGCACGAAAGCGUGGGGAGCGAACAGGAUUAGAUACCCUGGUAGUCCACGCCGUAAACGAUGAUCACUCGUUGUUGGCAAUAUAUCGUCAGCGACUGAGCGAAAGCAUUAAGUGAUCCACCUGGGGAGUACGAUCGCAAGAUUGAAACUCAAAGGAAUUGACGGGGGCCCGCACAAGCGGAGGAACAUGUGGUUUAAUUCGAUGAUACGCGAGGAACCUUACCUGGGCUUAAAUGCAGAACGACGUACCGGGAAACUGGUACUCCCUUCGGGGCGAACUGCAAGGUGCUGCAUGGCUGUCGUCAGCUCGUGCCGG